UACCAUCAACAAAAUGUGACUCAUAUCUAAACCAGUCCUUGACGAACGUGCCAAGCAUAUUAAGCCACUUCUCCUCAUCCAACGCGUCAGUUUUUGACAGAAUCGUUAGUUGAUGGCGAAAGGUCGCAAAGUAAGAGCUUCUCGAGCUGCGCAAGGAUAGGUCGAAUUUUCUCAUUUUCCGCCAGCAGUCCACUUCGAUUUAAUUCGUAAACAAGCAGUAGUAAUUCCUGCUUUAUCAAGAUAAUUUUUC
Molecule: ribosomal RNA, 250 nt
Filed under: uncultured prokaryote
Description: partial 16S ribosomal RNA
Source: RNAcentral